GUUAUAACAACACCACCACCCGAACCGGGCUUUGGACCCAAAGUGAGACCCAAAGGCUUGUCAACUUCCACUUCGAUCUGCUUCGAAGCCCCUGCGGUUUUUCUUGCAUUGAUUUCGAGUCCUCUGUUUCGUUUCGAAAUCGCUGACGUUUUGUCAGUGGUUUUAUUGAACGAAACAGAGAGACUUCUUUUGGCAUCUUGAAUUGACACACCUUGAAAUAUGGUAACCUGAGGAGGGGGUGAUGAUAAUGGGUAUGAGUUUCGGGUUGAGAAGGCGGUGGCCGGAGCUGCACCUGCGGUGGUGGUGGACAUGUUGAUGUGGGUGGCACAAGACAGAUUGGUG
RNAcentral lists this long non-coding RNA (342 nucleotides) under Helianthus annuus (common sunflower). RNAcentral describes it as "sRNA HanXRQr2_Chr08g0340591". Lineage: Eukaryota; Viridiplantae; Streptophyta; Magnoliopsida; Asterales; Asteraceae. The record is from RNAcentral.